GCGCUCUUAGUUCAGCCCGGUAGAACGUAGGUCUCCAAAACCUAAUGCCGUAGGUUCAAAUCCUACAGAGCGUG
This 74-nucleotide transfer RNA is filed under the name Zamia fischeri. RNAcentral describes it as "tRNA-Trp". It matches the Rfam family "tRNA". From Rfam's summary of the family: Transfer RNA (tRNA) molecules are approximately 80 nucleotides in length. The record is from RNAcentral. Lineage: Eukaryota; Viridiplantae; Streptophyta; Cycadopsida; Cycadales; Zamiaceae. RNAcentral also lists the same sequence under 3 other names.